UCGGGGUACACGAGCGGCGAACGGGUGAGUAACACGUGGGUAACCUGCCCUGUACUCUGGGAUAAGCCUGGGAAACUAGGUCUAAUACCGGAUAUGACCACCAGGGGCAUCUUUGGUGGUGGAAAGUUCCGGCGGUACGGGAUGGACCCGCGGCCUAUCAGCUUGUUGGUGGGGUGAUGGCCUACCAAGGCGACGACGGGUAGCCGGCCUGAGAGGGUGACCGGCCACACUGGGACUGAGACACGGCCCAGACUCCUACGGGAGGCAGCAGUGGGGAAUAUUGCACAAUGGGCGAAAGCCUGAUGCAGCGACGCCGCGUGAGGGAUGACGGCCUUCGGGUUGUAAACCUCUUUCAGCAGGGACGAAGCGCAAGUGACGGUACCUGCAGAAGAAGCACCGGCUAACUACGUGCCAGCAGCCGCGGUAAUACGUAGGGUGCGAGCGUUGUCCGGAAUUAUUGGGCGUAAAGAGCUCGUAGGCGGUUUGUUGCGUCGGCCGUGAAAACUUCACGCUUAACGUGGAGCCUGCGGUCGAUACGGGCAGACUUGAGUUCGGCAGGGGAGACUGGAAUUCCUGGUGUAGCGGUGAAAUGCGCAGAUAUCAGGAGGAACACCGGUGGCGAAGGCGGGUCUCUGGGCCGAUACUGACGCUGAGGAGCGA
This 660-nucleotide ribosomal RNA is filed under the name uncultured bacterium. RNAcentral's name for it is "bacterial SSU rRNA". It matches the Rfam family "Bacterial small subunit ribosomal RNA", at positions 82 to 756 of the family's 1533-position model. The record is from RNAcentral.